This 4564-nucleotide long non-coding RNA is filed under the name Brassica napus (rape). RNAcentral's name for it is "long non-coding RNA (BNAP_LNC019501)". Lineage: Eukaryota; Viridiplantae; Streptophyta; Magnoliopsida; Brassicales; Brassicaceae. The record is from RNAcentral.
CACUCUACCAUUUCACAAAAAUGUACAUAUCUUACUCAAAAUUUUAAAAAUUUAAAAAAAAAUAUUAGUAUAUAAUUAUUUAAGAGUAUUGCUAUUCCAUACACACCAGCAAGUACUAUAUGAUUUAAAAGAUCAAAUAACUAGACACCCAAGUAAACUAAGAACCGAGUUGAAGAAGAGGAGAGACGAACAAAGCUGUACAUUAUUAGGAGAUGAGACACAAGCUCCAAAAGGAUAUAGGAGACUGUGAGAUUGAAAGCAAGGAGAUCAAAUCCAGGAAGACGAGGAGAGAACCGGUGAGUCUAGCGCCUUCCCACAGCUUAAGGAUAAGAGCCUAACAAUGGAUCUGGCCAGAAAAUAUCAAUGAUCAACACCGUGACUGAACCCGUAGCACCAACACCAAGAGAAAUCACUCCUCUUACACACAGCGUGUUCACCACUUGAAGCAAGAACAUGCAUGGCACAAAUAGACAAGAAUCAGAUGAAAGCAAACCAAGACGAAGCGGUAAUCGGUGAUUGUGUCACAACGAAGCCUAAACUCCGAAAAUUCUGAGCCAUCCAAGCACAAGCACCGAUAUAGAAACCGCAAACGCCACAUGCAAGAUCAUCCAAUUCAAAUCUAAAAUUCUGGAUCUUUGAACUUGAUUUAAAAACCAGCUUUAAUUAGGAAGAGAAAACUACACAAACAAAGAAAGGAAAUAGAAGAACAAGAAACCCGACCGACGCCUUGGCUAUGAGAGUCAAACGACGUCGGCCGGUGAUCGGAGUGAACAAAGAGAGAAGGCAGAGGAUAUUUCUAGAGAGAGAAGUGAGUUAACAAGGGCCCUAAAAGAGAUCUAUAAGCCCAUUUCGGUAUGUCGUAUUAAGCUAUGUCAAGUUUUGAGAAUGAUAUGAAUGUUAUGCACGGGUGAUUUGACAUGUUAGAGAGUAAUUAUUUGGUAUAUAUCAGCUAUGUGUGCAUCUGUGUACAAAUCUAUUCAUUCUCUUCUUUUUGAAAUUGUAGCUUUUCGUCUGAAAACUACAGCAUAUGCAGAAGAAGAACAUGCAUUAUCUGUGUUUUGUGCUUCGACUUAUUGAAAUCUCACCUUUUCUAAUUUAUCCGUACGUGUGUUCUUAUUAAAACUAAAGUUCUGCAUAUACAGAAGAAGAAUUAAAUGGGUGUUAGAGCAUCUCCUUGGAGUCCUUAAGUAUAUUUUACUAUUUUUUUUUUUAAGAAUUAAGGAUUCUAAAGCAUCUUCAAUGGUGUUCCCACCGUUUCGAAAACCCCGAAACCCAAGUCAAAAUCACAUCGAAAUCGACAUGCAAGCUCCCCAAGAAGAAACCCUAAUCGAAUAAACCCACGAAUUAAGAGAGGAAACCACUGAUUUAGCAGAUCUACGCCGAGGAUCGGAAUCGCCUUACGAGGAAUCAGAGCUUUUUUUUUUUCGUGACCGAAUGAUUUUUUGACGACAAAAUAACUCGAGAUUAUACCGGCUUCGUUUGCCACGUCGAUAAGGAUUGGGUAUCGAAAAACUCUUCCAUAAGGAUUAAUCCUUCUCAACCCGAGCCCAUUUAUUAUUAUUAAAAUCGAAAACCCAUAAGGACUUGGGCUUAAGGAUUCGAUAAAUACAGCGUUGUGGUUGCUCUUACUAUCUUUGUAAGUUAACUGCCACCACAAGAAAACAUGUGAUUUCCGACUACAGUUUGCGACUGUACAGGUAGUCGUUAAUAUUUAUGACUGUUAGGCGACUGAUUUGCGACUCAUAAAAUUCCGUCGUAUAUAAGUCGCAAAAUAACGACUACGACAAUCAGUCGUCGGAAUAAUACAGACGCAAUAUAGUCGGUAAGUGGAGACUAUUUAGCGACCGAUUUUUGUGGUCAUAACUUAGUCGCUAAUCGGUCGGUGAAAACCGGUACAAAACACGUAGUUUACGUUUUAUGGUUGGUGUAACUAAUUUUAGCUAGCAGUUGGUAUUUAGUCGCUAAUAAGUCAGAAAUUUUGCUAUAUAAUCUAAAAAAUAUUUUCCACAUUUCUGCUCAGAAAUCGUAGAAAGAAAGUUUUACAACAAAAAAAAUCGUCGAAAAACAAAAGAAAAAAAGAUUGUUUGAAGUGUUACAAUGUCGGGAAAUUACAACUAUUCCAAUCUUCGAGAAUGGAUAUACAAGAGGAUCGAUGAAAUGACGGGAAAUUUCUCAUAAGAGUUCAUAGCAGGGGUUGAUCAAUUCAUGACAUUUGCAAAUAGCCAGCCUAUCACGCAGAGCAAUGGGGGUAAAUUUUAUGUCCAUGUAGUGUUUGCAAGAACAAUAAAUUUCUUCCGGGGUCAAAAAUUUGGAAACAUAUAUAUAGUAGAGGAUUCAUGCAAGACUAUUAUGUUUAGUAUAAUCAUGGAGAAGAAAUUGAUAAGUAAUUAGGAACGAGUCAUGUUGAUCUGACACCUUUAAGUGAUAGUGAAGAAGUUGGUAAUGAAGAUAGAUAUGUUGAUAUGGUAAAUGAGUCAUUUCGUGAUAAUGUGAGUCCUGAUAAUUAUCACCAGGAUGGUAGUUACCAAAAUGUAGUAGAUGAUGUAUGCAACCAUUCAAAAAAGUUUUACGACUUGUUAGAAGGAGAAAAAAAGUCCCUUGUAAGAUGGUUGUCGUGAAGGUCACUCGCAGCUAUCCUUAGCUGCUCGAGUCUUGCAAACUAAGGCAGAUUAUAAUAUGAGUGAAAAGUGUGUGGAUUCGGUGUUCCAAAUGCUGAAUGACUAUUUACCUGAUGGAAACAUGGCAACCGACUCACACUACGAGACAGAAAAGUUGAUGCGCAAUUUAGGCCUCCCAUAUUUUACAAUUGAUGUUUGUAUCAACAAGUGUAUGAUAUUCUGGAAAGAAGAUGAAAGGUGGAAACAUGUCAGUUUUGUGGUGCAGAAAGAUGGAAGCUUAGGGACAAACGCCGUAGAAACAAAGUACCAUAUAGCCGUAUGUGGUAUCUCCCUAUAGCUGAUAGGUUGAAGAGAAUGUAUCAGAGCAAGAAGACUGCAGCGGCAAUGAAGUGGCAUGUUGAGCACCAAGCAAAAGAGGGAGAAAUGUGUCAUCCAUCUGAUGCGGCGGAGUGGAAAAACUUUCAAGAAAUACAUCCUCGGUUUGCCGAAAAACCGCGUAACGUUUAUCUUGGAUUAUGUACAGAUGGAUUUAAUCUAUUUGGGAUGUCUCAUAAUCAUUCAUUGUGGCAUGUGAUCUUGACUCCGUAUAUUCUGCCCCCGGGUAUGUGCAUGAAAACAGAGUACCUGUUUCUUACAAUUCUAAAUUCUGGGCCAAAUCAUCCGCGAGCUAGUCUUGAUAUCUUCCUCAAACCUCUGAUUGCGGAGUUAAAAAAAUUGUGGUCAACUGGAGUUGAAGCAUACGAUGUGUCCUUGAAUCAAAAUUUUAACCUAAAAGAUGUGCUUUUGUGGACGAUAAGCGAUUUUCCGGCGUACGUCAUGUUUUCCGGAUGGAUGACCCAUGGUAAAUUGGCAUGUCCAAUUUGCAUGGAAGAUACAAAUUUUUUUAUCUGCCUAAUGGAAAGAAGAUGUGUUGGUUUGAUUGUCACCGAAGAUUUUUUCCUCGUAAUCAUCCACUAAGGAAGAAUAGAAAGGAUUUCUUAAAGGGGAAAAAUGUAGUAAAUAAAAUUCCACCUAAUUUUUUUACUGGUGAGCAAGUUUAUUUAGAGCGGUUAAAGGUGUCAAUCCUCCGAAAACGUCUGUUUGCGGUGGAAACAGUCAUGAAAAGAAGAAGCCUGGAUAUGGAAAGGACCAUAAUUGGCACAAGGAAAUCAUAUUUUGGGAGUUGUCAUACUGGAGGGAUCUAAUUCUCCGACAUAAUCUUGAUGUGAUGCAUAUAGAGAAGAAAUUUUUUGACAACAUCAUGAAUACUCUUACGAAUGUGAAGGAUAAAUCGAAAGACACAAUCCAGUCAAGAUUGGAUAUAUCAAAGUUUUGUGAUCGGCCACACUUACAUGUUGAUGGUGAUUGUCAAGCUCCAUUUCCUCCCUACACAUUGGACGAAGCCGGGAAAUUUGUUUUAUUGGAAUGUGUGAAAAGCGCAGUUAAAUUCCCUGACGAUUAUGCUUCAGACUUGGCUAAUUGUGUUGAUAUAGAGAACAACAAGUUUUCUGGCAUGAAGAGUCAUGACUGCCAUGUUUUUAUGGAGCAGCUACUUCCAUUUAUCUUUCAGAACUCCUAGACAAAAACUUCCAUCUUGCGUUGUCAGGUGCUAAUUUUUUCGUUAUAAUUUUUUAUAUUAUAUGAUACAACUUAAUCUAUGAUUAUCAAUAAUAUUUUUAAUAUUGUAGGUGUUGGAUUUUUUUUUCCGUGACCUUUGCUCGCGAACUUUUCAGAAAGAUCAUUUCCAAAUUCUAAAACAAAACAUUGUUUUGAUCAUCUGCAAUUUAGAGAAGAUAUUUCCACCAUCAUUUUUUGACGUAAUGCAGCAUCUCCCUAUACACCUCCCCUGUGAAGCUGAAUUAGAAGGACCUGUCAAUUAUAGGUGGAUGUAUAUCUUUGAAAGGAAUUUCAAAAAGUUGAAAGCAAAAGCAAAGAACAAAAGAUUUGUUGUUGGAUCAAUUGUUGAA